This 107-nucleotide small nuclear RNA is filed under the name Mus caroli (Ryukyu mouse). Lineage: Eukaryota; Metazoa; Chordata; Mammalia; Rodentia; Muridae. The record is from RNAcentral.
GUGCUCGCUUUGGCAGCACAUAUACUAAAAUUGGAACGAUACAGAGAAUACUAGCAUGGCUCCUGCCCAAGGAUGACACUCAAAUUCACGAAGCAUUCCAUAUUUAA